AUGGGGAGGAAGCCAUGCUGCGCCAAGGAAGGCCUGAACAGAGGGGCAUGGACGGCAAUGGAGGACGAGAUCCUGGUCUCCUACAUCAACGAUCACGGUGAGGGCAAGUGGGGGAGCCUCCCCAAACGAGCUGGGCUGAAUCGCUGCGGAAAGAGCUGCCGGCUGCGGUGGCUCAACUACCUCCGGCCGGGGAUCAAGAGAGGCAACAUCUCCGACGACGAAGAGGAGCUCAUCGUCAGGCUUCACGGGCUCCUAGGCAACAGGUGGUCGCUGAUCGCGGGGCGGCUGCCGGGGCGAACAGACAAUGAGAUCAAGAACUACUGGAACACCACGCUGAGCAAGAGGAACCAGCAGUCCCACGGCGCCGGCUGCUCGAACCACCCGCAGGCCAAGCCGCUGCCGCCGGCGCCGCAGGCCGGUGGCGAGGCACAGGCCCUGCCGGAGGGCACGAGCAGCAGUCCGAUACGGACCAAGGCGCUGCGGUGCACCACCACGGUGCUGGCGGCAGCAGAGGGGUUUCACGAGCAGGGCCGUGCGGCGCCGGAGCACGUUGCGGCGGAGGAUCAGCUGGGGGACUGCCUGUCGAUCGGCUCGAUCGACCUCGACCUGGAGGGCAUCGAGCUGGGCUUCAUGAUGAGCCCGUGGAGCGGCGGCGCCGACGGCGUGGGUGAUCAGCAUUUCGGUGCUCCCGGGGCUGAGGCUGAUGGUCUGGAGGAGCUGCUCGGGCUGGGCGUGGCCGGAGGAGGCGGCGACGGCCAUGGCGGACUCGGGGACCUGGAGUUGGCGUGGCUUUGCUAG
RNAcentral lists this ribosomal RNA (798 nucleotides) under Triticum aestivum (bread wheat). RNAcentral describes it as "partial small subunit ribosomal RNA". The record is from RNAcentral. Lineage: Eukaryota; Viridiplantae; Streptophyta; Magnoliopsida; Poales; Poaceae.